Molecule: ribosomal RNA, 708 nt
Filed under: uncultured bacterium
Lineage: Bacteria
Description: bacterial SSU rRNA
Rfam family: Bacterial small subunit ribosomal RNA
Source: RNAcentral
ACGGUAACAGGAGAGAGCUUGCUCUCUUGCUGACGAGUGGCGGACGGGUGAGUAAUGCUUGGGAAUCUGCCUAUAGAUGGGGGAUAACCAUUGGAAACGAUGGCUAAUACCGCGUAAUAUCGAGAGAUUAUAGAGUGCUUUUAGUACCUGUCUAUAGAUGAGCCCAAGUGAGAUUAGCUAGUUGGUGAGGUAAUGGCUCACCAAGGCGACGAUCUCUAGCUGGUUUGAGAGAAUGACCAGCCACACUGGAACUGAGACACGGUCCAGACUUCUACGGAAGGCAGCAGUGGGGAAUAUUGGACAAUGGGGGCAACCCUGAUCCAGCCAUGCCGCGUGUAUGAAGAAGGCCUUAGGGUUGUAAAGUACUUUCGGUAAUGAGGAAGGUAAUUAUUGAAGGAUAGUUGCUUGACGUUAGUUACAGAAGAAGCACCGGCUAACUCCGCGCCAGCAGCCGCGGUAAUACGGAGGGUGCGAGCGUUAAUCGGAAUUACUGGGCGUAAAGGGCACGCAGGCGGAUUGGCAAGUUAGAUGUGAAAGCCCCGAGCUUAACUUGGGAAUUGCAUUUAAAACUACUAAUCUAGAGUUGUUUAGGGAGGGGUAGAAUUUCUCGUGUAACAGUGAAAUGUGUAGAGAUGAGAAGGAAUACCGAAGGCGAAGGCAGCCCCUUGGGAACAAACUGACGCUCAUGUGCGAAAGCGUGGGGAGCAA